Molecule: small nuclear RNA, 122 nt
Organism: Ictidomys tridecemlineatus (thirteen-lined ground squirrel)
Lineage: Eukaryota; Metazoa; Chordata; Mammalia; Rodentia; Sciuridae
Gene: U4
Rfam family: U4 spliceosomal RNA
About the family: U4 small nuclear RNA (U4 snRNA) is a component of the major U2-dependent spliceosome. The structure of U4 snRNA from yeast and human has been reported.
Source: Ensembl
AGCUUUGCGCAGUGGCAGUAUUGUAGCCAAUGAGGUUUAUCGGAGGCGCGAUCAUUGCUAAUUGAAAACUUUUCCCAAUACCCCACCAUGACAACUUGAAAUAUAGUCGGGAUUCUGCAAUC